GCCUUUAUGGUGUAGUGGCCAGCACGCUCGACGCGUAACCGAGAGGUCCGUGGUUCGAUUCCCGGCGAGAGCG
RNAcentral lists this transfer RNA (73 nucleotides) under Stegodyphus mimosarum. It matches the Rfam family "tRNA". Rfam says of the family: Transfer RNA (tRNA) molecules are approximately 80 nucleotides in length. Their secondary structure includes four short double-helical elements and three loops (D, anti-codon, and T loops). Further hydrogen bonds mediate the characteristic L-shaped molecular structure. tRNAs have two regions of fundamental functional importance: the anti-codon, which is responsible for specific mRNA codon recognition, and the 3' end, to which the tRNAs corresponding amino acid is attached (by aminoacyl-tRNA synthetases). tRNAs cope with the degeneracy of the genetic code in two manners: having more than one tRNA (with a specific anti-codon) for a particular amino acid; and 'wobble' base-pairing, i.e. permitting non-standard base-pairing at the 3rd anti-codon position. The record is from Rfam by way of RNAcentral. Lineage: Eukaryota; Metazoa; Arthropoda; Arachnida; Araneae; Eresidae.